Molecule: ribosomal RNA, 119 nt
Filed under: Triticum aestivum (bread wheat)
Lineage: Eukaryota; Viridiplantae; Streptophyta; Magnoliopsida; Poales; Poaceae
Also listed under: 3 other names
Source: RNAcentral
GGAUGCGAUCAUACCAGCACUAAAGCACCGGAUCCCAUCAGAACUCCGAAGUUAAGCGUGCUUGGGCGAGGGUAGUACUAGGAUGGGUGACCUCCUGGGAAGUCCUCGUGUUGCAUUCC